CCGAAUUUAAUUCAAAUUUUCCAAUCUUCGAACUCCUUCUUAAUUUCAAACCAAAUCCUUACCAAACUUGACCAAAUAAGUCUUUAAAUCCCUUCUAGAUUUAUGGUAGAGUCGGAUACGAUAAAUAAGGGCUUCUGGAAUAGAGACUCUCCAUGUUUUACAAUCCGUGCUCGUCAACGUGAUAGCCUGCAUAGCCUUCAAUGAAAUUGCCAUAACUCUUGGUACAAAACUCCAAAUCUUGUAAGGUUUGAUCCGUUGGAAAGAAGACUUGAUACCCUUUCUAAAUAUUACCUUUUGAAUCCAUGAAAUCUUCUAUAUUGAUGCGCACAACUCAAGAGCGAUGACUGCCAGAACAAAUGACCCUGUAACUUGCGUUCCUGAUCCUCAUCGUUCUCCCCUUCUUCAAAACGAGUUGUCCUCGACUCUUGCUGAUUGUUGAAGCUUUGGUCGACGACUAAGAUGACGACUAACACACUAUGUUGACUAACCAUGCUGCCGUCCCAACAUGGAUUCAACCACAAACAUGACUUAAAAAAUACAGACUCGAUGACACAACUGAUAACUACAAAUUAGCAUUACAAAUCAGAAACAAUUCCAUCAAAUGUGAAACAAAUCCAAUGACAAUAGCACAUGAUGAGAAUAAACAAAAGUUCAGAACUCAUCCAAUCCUAUUCUAAAACAUCGGUAUUUUCUCAACACCAAUCUAAAACUAAAUCUUCAAUUGCAAAACAAGCUUGCGAAGGAUAAAGAUCCUACCGAGUCAAACCAGAAAACUGAUACCAAAGGAUACGGAGAUGGCCCGAUCUUCUCGACGUAGGAUUGCUGAACAACAUGUAGUGGUAGAAAGAUAACUAUUGUACCCUCUGAUCUCCAUGGACCAGCAAGCACAAUCUUGAUAAGUUGCCAUCGGACCCUCAAUUCCCAGCGGAAAAGUAAGCAUGAUCUUCGGCGGAGUGCCCGAUUCCCCUUCUAUGAUAUGCAUAGGAAGAACAGGCAUGAGACCCUCAUCAUGGAUAAGCACAUAGCUAAAUCAAUUCAUAAUUUGAGUUUAAGGUUACAAGGAUGCACACCCCUAACUUAUAUAGUACCUAAGGGAACCUAAAACCUAAAACCUGGACUCUCAUAAACUUUGGACUCAAUGGGCUGUCAUCUUCUCUUCUAAAUUGCGGUGCAUAUUUAAAGAACCUUGGCUUGGGACUCCAUCUAUCACAUGGGAAAUCAAAUUAGCUUUCCAAAGAGUACUCAAACAUCCAAAACGGACUCCAUACGUAGGAGAUAUGGACAUCUUAAUCCAGGAUUGUCACGCUAUGACGUGGCAAUCCGAAUUUAAUUCCAAUCUUCGAACUCCUUCUUAAUUCCGAACCAAAUUCUUGCCAAACUUGAACAAUGAAGUCUUUAAAUCUCUUCUAGAUUUAUGGUAGAGUUGGAUAUGAUAAAUAAGAGUUUCUAGAUUAGAGACUCUCCACGUUUUAUAAUCCAUGCUCGUCAAAGUGACAACCUGCAUAGCCUUCAAUGAAAUUGCCAUAACUCUUGGUACAAAACUCCAAAUCUUGUAAGGUUUGGUCCAUUGGAAAUAAGACCUGAUACCCUUUCUAAUCUCACCUUUUAAAUCUAUGAAAUCUUUUGUAUUGAUGCGCAUAACUCAAGAGAGAUGACUGCCAGAACAGACGACCCUUUAACUUGCGUUCCUGAUCCUCAUCACGAAUCAAAUCCAACAAGCAUCAUUAGAUAGCUUUUCACUAUCCACUGCGUACCAACCAACUUCCUCUCUCUUAUUGACCGCCACCGCGUGCCUGCCCCUCGCGUGCUGUCCACAGUGACGCUCUGUUUCUAGACCUAGGUUUUCAGAAUGUUAAGUGCCGUCAACGCUAGAUUCUGCACGGAGUGAGUACCCAAACACACGAAAGAAGACGCGGGAAGUCUAAGCUACUGGUGACCUCGUGUUUCUUUGCUACACCAACUACUGGGCUUUUAAAAAUGAAUGGGCUGAUCCCGGCCCAAUAAUGCCCCGAAAACCCAAGGUUUCCUCCGCAAGGUUCGUCCACGGAGGGUGAGUCAGGCCCUAAGAUCAGGCCGAAAGGCGUAGUCGAUGGACAACAGGUCAAUAUUCCUGUACUACCCCUUGUUGGUACAGAGGGACGGAGGAGGCUAGGUUAGCCGAAAGAUGGUUAUAGGUUUAAGGACACAAGGUGACCAUGCUUUUUUAGGGUAAGAAGUGGUAGAGAAAAUGCCUCGAGUCGAGGUCCAAGUACCAAGCGCUGCAGCGCUGAAGUAUGAGCCCCGUGGGCUAGCCAUUGGACAUCUUUGGCACAAUCUAUAUUUUCGUGAAAUGGAUCAUAAUAAAAUAGAGUUUAGGUAUCUAGGGAAGAUUCACUUGGAAGUAACUAUUUCCUAGACACCCAUGCAUGGGGCUUCACGGUUGAAUGAAUCAACUCGAAAAAUCGAUUUUCUUUUACACUUUUGUAUCUCACUCUAUCUUGUUUUUUAGUAUUAUCUAAAAUAACCGAUGAAUUAUGAAUUUUCCAUAACUUAGGUAAGUGCUUUACCAACAUAUGUAGUUUAGUAAAAAAAUAAAUGGAAUUUAACCCCUUCAUGCUUACUAUAACUAGUUAUUUCGGUUUUCUACUAGCUGCUUUAACUAUAACCCUAGCUCUAUUUAUUGGCUUGAACAAGAUACGUCUUAUUUGAAAUGAAUUGAAUGAAUAAGUCAGAAAACAAUAAUCUUUCUUUUGGAUUCCUGGUAUUCUAGACUCUUUUCCACACUAAUUAUCAAUUCUUUUCUUGGUCAUUGAGAUUCGUGAAUAAUUUAGACUAUUAUUUAGAGAUAGAUCGUACCUCUUUUUUUUUAUCCCCUCGAACAAAUCGAAAUGAUUGAAGUUUUUCUAUUUGGAAUCAUCUUAGGCCUAAUUUACGUUGUUGAUUGGAGGAUAUCACACAUACACAAGAUACAGACACACGGAUAAACACAACUUUCAUGCGCAGCACUUGCAUGACAUGACGAAUGCACGACAAGAAGAUUAGCUGCCACGAUAUUUCAUACGUGUCCACCUUUGCCUAUAGGUGUUUGUAACUAAGAAUAUCUUAUAUAAAUAGCUAUCCAAGAUGCAAACUUCC
RNAcentral lists this long non-coding RNA (3114 nucleotides) under Setaria viridis. Its description in RNAcentral is "long non-coding RNA (SVIR_LNC004610)". The stretch from base 2008 to 2365 matches the Rfam family "Bacterial large subunit ribosomal RNA", at positions 1337 to 1687 of the family's 2925-position model. Lineage: Eukaryota; Viridiplantae; Streptophyta; Magnoliopsida; Poales; Poaceae. The record is from RNAcentral.